CCUACGGGCCGCAGCAGUGGGGAAUUUUCCGCAAUGGGCGAAAGCCUGACGGAGCAAUGCCGCGUGGAGGUAGAAGGCCCACGGGUCGUGAACUUCUUUUCCCGGAGAAGAAGCAAUGACGGCAUCUUGGGAAUAAGCAUCGGCUAACUCUGUGCCAGCAGCCGCGGUAAUACAGAGGAUGCAAGCGUUAUCCGGAAUGAUUGGGCGUAAAGCGUCUGUAGGUGGCUUUUUAAGUCCGCCGUCAAAUCCCAGGGCUCAACCCUGGACAGGCGGUGGAAACUACCAAGCUGGAGUACGGUAGGGGCGGAGGGAAUUUCCGGUGGAGCGGUGAAAUGCGUAGAGAUCGGAAAGAACACCGACGGCGAAAGCACUCUGCUGGGCCGACACUGACACUGAGAGACGAAAGCUAGGCGAGCGAAUGGGAUUAGAUACCCGCGUAGUC
RNAcentral lists this ribosomal RNA (442 nucleotides) under uncultured bacterium. RNAcentral describes it as "bacterial SSU rRNA". It matches the Rfam family "Bacterial small subunit ribosomal RNA", at positions 338 to 795 of the family's 1533-position model. The record is from RNAcentral.